UUUAUUUACAUUAUUCUUCGAUCGCUUGCUUCUGCAACAAUUCAAGAAACAUCUACAUGAUAAAUUCAAAUAACACAGCCCAUCAAACUAUGGGAUUUGAUCAUGCCUGAAGUCAUUAUCUUAACCACGAGGAUGAUGCCAAAGGUGGGGUUAGUGACUAGAUGAAUCAUAGCAAGGUAGCUAUACUAGAAGGCAUGGCUAGCUCACCUCCAUU
This 214-nucleotide non-coding RNA is filed under the name Eucalyptus grandis. RNAcentral describes it as "Bacterial small subunit ribosomal RNA". It matches the Rfam family "Bacterial small subunit ribosomal RNA", at positions 848 to 1533 of the family's 1533-position model. Lineage: Eukaryota; Viridiplantae; Streptophyta; Magnoliopsida; Myrtales; Myrtaceae. The record is from Rfam by way of RNAcentral.